GUGUCAGCAGCCGCGGUAAUACAGAGGGUGCAAGCGUUAUUCGAAAUUAUUGGGCGUAAAGCGCGAGCAGGUGGUGAGGUAAGUCGCAAGUGAAAGCCUCGGGCUCAACCCGAGAGAGUCUUGGGAAACUACCUCGCUAGAGGUGAAGAGGGGAGAGCGGAAUUCCCAGUGUAGUGGUGAAAUACGUAGAUAUUGGGAGGAACAUCGGCGGCGAAAGCGGCUCUCUGGCUUCAUUCUGACACUCAGUCGCGAAAGCGUGGGGAUCAAACAGGAUUAGAUACCCUGGUAGUCC
Molecule: ribosomal RNA, 292 nt
Filed under: uncultured bacterium
Lineage: Bacteria
Description: partial 16S ribosomal RNA
Rfam family: Bacterial small subunit ribosomal RNA
Source: RNAcentral